This 967-nucleotide ribosomal RNA is filed under the name uncultured crenarchaeote. Its description in RNAcentral is "bacterial SSU rRNA". It matches the Rfam family "Archaeal small subunit ribosomal RNA", at positions 342 to 1312 of the family's 1478-position model. The record is from RNAcentral. Lineage: Archaea; Thermoproteati; Thermoproteota.
CGAAACUCCGCAAUGCGCGAAAGCGCGACGGGGCCACCCCGAGUGCCAUCCGCUGAGGGUGGCUUUUCCCUAGUGUAGUAAGCUAGGGGAAUAAGCGGGGGGCAAGUCUGGUGUCAGCCGCCGCGGUAAUACCAGCUCCGCGAGUGGUCGGGACGAUUAUUGGGCCUAAAGCGUCCGUAGCCGGCCUAACAAGUCUCUGGUUAAAUCUCAAGGCUUAACCUUGAGAUCGCUGGAGAUACUGUUAGGCUAGGGGGCGGGAGAGGUUGAGGGUACUUCGCGGGUAGGGGCGAAAUCCUAUAAUCCGCGAAGGACCACCAGUGGCGAAGGCGCUCAACUGGAACGCGCCCGACGGUGAGGGACGAAAGCUAGGGGAGCAAAGGGGAUUAGAUACCCCCGUAGUCCUAGCUGUAAACGAUGCGGGCUAGGUGUUGGGUUGGCUUCGUGCCAACCCAGUGCCGCAGCGAAGGCGAUAAGCCCGCCGCCUGGGAAGUACGGCCGCAAGGCUGAAACUUAAAGGAAUUGGCGGGGGAGCACCACAAGGGGUGAAGCCUGCGGUUUAAUUGGAGUCAACGCCGGGAAUCUUACCGGGAGCGACAGCAGGAUGAAGGCCAAGCUGACGACUUUGCCAGACAGGCUGAGAGGAGGUGCAUGGCCGUCGCCAGUUCGUGCCGUGAGGUGUCCGGUUAAGUCCGGCAACGAACGAGACCCCCACCCUAUGUUGCUAGGUCCUCUCUACGGAGGGGACCGCACACGUAGGGGACCGCCAGUGUUAAACUGGAGGAAGGAGGGGGCUACGGCAGGUCAGCAUGCCCCGAAUCUCCCGGGCCACACGCGGGCUGCAAUGGCGAGGACAGCGGGUUCCGGCCCCGAGAGGGGAAGGCAAUCCCUUAAACCUCGCCGUAGUUGGGAUUGAGGGCUGUAACCCGCCCUCAUGAACAUGGAUCCCUAGUAACCGCGUGUCACCAUC